This 347-nucleotide ribosomal RNA is filed under the name uncultured bacterium. RNAcentral describes it as "bacterial SSU rRNA". It matches the Rfam family "Bacterial small subunit ribosomal RNA", at positions 129 to 507 of the family's 1533-position model. The record is from RNAcentral.
CCUUGGAGUUCGGGAUAACAGUUGGAAACGACUGCUAAUACCGAAUAUUCCCCUCAGGGGGGGAAAGAUUUAUCGCUCCAAGAUCGGUCCGCGUAAGAUUAGGUAGUUGGUGGGGUAAUGGCCUACCAAGCCUACGAUCUUUAGCUGGUCUGAGAGGACGACCAGCCACACUGGAACUGAGACACGGUCCAGACUCCUACGGGAGGCAGCAGUGGGGAAUAUUGGACAAUGGGCGAAAGCCUGAUCCAGCCAUGCCGCGUGAAUGAUGAAGGCCUUAGGGUUGUAAAAUUCUUUUGCAGGGGAAGAUAAUGACGGUACCCUGCGAAUAAGCUCCGGCUAACUUCGUG